GCGAUGCUCAUGGCAAUGUUAAAGGUAACAAAAGUUAGUUUUAAUUUAAGAUCUUCUACAAUAUGAUUCUAGGUUUUGUUUGUACAACGCGAACAUUGUCCCUGGCUGGCUUUUCAACACUUCCUGCUAUAUGUUUUGUGAUGCAUUUCCUAUAUGUAAGUAUUUGAAAGCUUCAAUUAAUUAUGAAAAAGUUAUUAAAUAAGAUGAAAAUAUAGACAUGAUAGCAGGAUUUUGCAUGCCAUUCUUGCUGCCUCUUAUUUAAGGGUUGGAUAAAGUUUAUUUCACAUAUAUCUCCUUCUUACUCUUAAAAUUUUUCUCGGCAUUUCAUUUCUAAAAGUUGCAUUUAGUUUCUAGUUUGAGACAAUUGUUUACUUUACAAGGACAAUAAAGUUUUCUUAAUAAUGAUUUAAUAAUAAAAUCAUAUUGUUGGAUACAGACAGUUGAGAUUAUCUUCCAGUUUUUUCGUUGGGCAACUGUAUGUUGAUGAAUAGGAACUAUUACUAUGGUGUCUUAUGAGCAAACUGAAACGAUUUUAGUUUUGUUCUUUUAUCAAUUUUUUAUCCACCAGAUGUUGGCAAUGGACCCUUGAAUAUCAGGCAAACCAUUUCAUUUGCCAUGGGGAAUUGUAAUAGGUUUAUUCCAAGAUUAGGAAAUUGUUUCUUGUCAUUGAUGGGAAAGGCUUGCCAAGUUCAAGAAAGUGUGAUGUAGGACAGAUGUUGGAUCUGCCUUUGUUGUGGAUUAUUGUUUCACUCUGUAUAUUAGGGUUAGGAAUUAGGGAAUUAUGGUUCUAGAAUGGGAUUUUGAAAUUGGAUCAGGUGUAGUGGUUUUAAGGGUACAAGUGGGCCACUACAAGGGCUGGGUUGGGGAAUUUCAAUUUCCCUGCAGCAAUUCGAAACUGAGAUUUAGUGUUAAAGAGGUCUAGUUACUGAAGAAAGAGUAAGAAAAUCUUGGAGGAUUUGGGAUGCUGUUGGUAGAACUAGGAUAAGUUUAAAAGCUUUUCACCGUGUUGUGAGCAGUGUCAAGAGACUACAGGGAUUUAGGGCUGUAGAUGUAGAAAUCCCUGAGAUUAAAAGACUUUUUUUUUUUUUAUAGAUGAGAUUAAAAGACUUGUCAUAGUGGAUUAGUAAUCCUAAAUAGGAGAAUUAUUGAUAAAGCUCUAGAGCCCUAAAUAAGAUGGUAUAACUAGUAUUAAAAUUCCUAAAUAAAAAAAAGAAAUGCCUUACUAACAGGGACACUUUCCCGGUGACCAAAGUACUUCUCUUCUAGGUUUAGGCUUUUAUUUUCAAAUUGGGCAUCUCCUUGCCAGUCAUCCUACGGAUGUCCUCAAAUUGCUUUUGUCAAAACUAUUGUAUCAUUUUGGUGAAACUAUGUAAUUAAGGAAGGUAAGUGUUUAGUAAGGAAUUAAAAUUUAUUUUGUAAAUGAAUUAAUUAUGGUUAGUGUGAAAAGAGAGGGGGGA
Molecule: unclassified non-coding RNA, 1457 nt
Filed under: Hevea brasiliensis (rubber tree)
Lineage: Eukaryota; Viridiplantae; Streptophyta; Magnoliopsida; Malpighiales; Euphorbiaceae
Source: RNAcentral